Molecule: long non-coding RNA, 666 nt
Filed under: Phasianus colchicus (ring-necked pheasant)
Lineage: Eukaryota; Metazoa; Chordata; Aves; Galliformes; Phasianidae
Description: lncRNA (ENSPCLG00000018085.1)
Source: RNAcentral
CUGGGGAAAUUGAGGCCUUGUGCUGGACAGGAACGCAGGGCUGCUUCAGGCUUCAGAAGAAUUGCCACUUUUGCAGUCAAAUCCAAGUAACAUCUGCUCUAUGCAACCAGUCAAUAUUGUGGAAAAGUUCAAAGAAUGAAGAUCAUUAGUAGUGUCAGCUUUACAACCAGAAGCAUUGGUUAAUUGUGCUUUAGGUAGAUGGCAGGGAAGUGUCUGCAGGCACAGAGAAACUCCCCAGCCUAUGUCUCCUCAGUCAGCUUCACUGUUUGGUGUUUGGCUAGAGAAGUCUUCCCACAGCAGAGGCUGUGUCCAGAGCUCUCCUGCUUCCUGCCAGAGCUGCUAAAAUUAUGUAUUCUUCACUACUCACUAAGAAGAUUACUGAGCCAGCUGACCCAAACAGCAGCAGCACCAAUUAGACAUCAUUCAAAAUUAAUAACCACUAUGAUGAUAACAAAUAAAAAGAUUGAUUCUUCUGAUGCGAGAAUCAUUUUAAUUAAUUUAAUCCAUGUUGAAAGAUCAGCUGUGCCCAAUCCGGCUCACCAGUGGGGCCCAUUUGUCCCUGUCUGUCCCCGUCACCUAAAGCCAGUGAAUAUGAUCAGUAGCCAGCACUUAGGGAACAAUAAGAAGCAGAUUGUACUGUCAGGCUUCAUUAAAGAUCAUCAUUAG